UCAAAACAGGGCACUAAACCAGAUCCGGGGUUCAAUUCUGUUGUUUUUUCGGAUAAUAGCCGGCUCUAAUUCUCUGCCGGUGUGCAGGAUAUAGCGCAAAUAAAACCAUUGUCCUAGAGUUUUCCAGGAUUAGCAUGUAGAGGAGAUUCGAAACAGUGAGUCGGUUCAGCGGUCUCUCAUUUAAAUAACCUGACCCGUAAAUGAUUGCUGAUUUUUAUUUGAGGACCUCUGCUUUACGACGUCGCACAAACCAGGUAGCAGUCUUCCGGUCUGCCAUCAAAUAUACCAAGAGAUAGGGCACCGAAAAAUAAACAAAGACUCGAGUUCAUAAUGCACGCCUCGACCCCGAGAAGUUUUAUUUAAAACGGGCCACGAAACACGGCAGAAACGGUAUUUUUUACGUCGCGACCCCGAGAGUUAGCGAGAGGACGGAAUUAUUUUUAUUGUUGCAAUCAUGAAGUUAUUUUUUAAGUGAUGCGGAAAUAUAAUGCAUACAGCGCAGGUAAAUGAUGAAUAAAAAAUUAUUAUUUACAGGG
Tribolium castaneum (red flour beetle) is the source of this 536-nucleotide long non-coding RNA. RefSeq lists it as uncharacterized. The transcript is spliced from 3 exons. NCBI's taxonomy places the organism in Eukaryota, Metazoa, Arthropoda, Insecta, Coleoptera, Tenebrionidae. The record is from RefSeq and is a predicted model, not a curated record.